CGUCUGCCCUGUGACAAUAGUUCAACGGCCGCGGUAUUUUGACCGUGCAAAGGUAGCGCAAUCACUUGUCUUUUAAAUGAAGACCUGUAUGAAUGGCACGACGAGGGCUUAACUGUCUCCUUUUUCCAGUCAAUGAAAUUGAUCUUUCCGUGCAGAAGCGGGAAUAUAACCAUAAGACGAGAAGACCCUAUGGAGCUUUAGACACAAGACAGAUCUUGUUAAACAUCUCAAAACAAAGAGACAAACAAAAAGAACCCUGCCCCAAUGUCUUUGGUUGGGGCGACCACGGGGAAACAAAUAACCCCCAUGCGGACUGAGAAAACAAUUCUCACAACCAAGAGCUACCGCUCUAAUUAACAGAAACUCUGACCUUAAGAUCCGGCAAUGCCGAUCAACGAACCGAGUUACCCUAGGGAUAACAGCGCAAUCCCCUUCUAGAGUCCAUAUCGACAAGGGGGUUUACGACCUCGAUGUUGGAUCAGGACAUCCUAAUGGUGCAGCAGCUAUUAAGGGUUCGUUUGUUCAACGA
RNAcentral lists this ribosomal RNA (529 nucleotides) under Betta channoides. RNAcentral describes it as "partial 16S ribosomal RNA". It matches the Rfam family "Bacterial large subunit ribosomal RNA", at positions 1856 to 2587 of the family's 2925-position model. Lineage: Eukaryota; Metazoa; Chordata; Actinopteri; Anabantiformes; Osphronemidae. The record is from RNAcentral.